UGAGCAAUCUGCCCUUCUCAUCGGAAUAAGCGUUGGAAACGACGUCUAAUGCCGAAUACGACCUCCUUUCGCAUGAUCGGAGGUGGAAAGCUCCGCCGGAGAGGGAUGGGCCCGCGGCCUAUCAGCUUGUUGGUGGGGUAACGGCCCACCAAGGCGACGACGGGUAGCCGGCCUGAGAGGGUGACCGGCCACACUGGGACUGAGACACGGCCCAGACUCCUACGGGAGGCAGCAGUGGGG
RNAcentral lists this ribosomal RNA (240 nucleotides) under uncultured bacterium. RNAcentral describes it as "partial 16S ribosomal RNA". It matches the Rfam family "Bacterial small subunit ribosomal RNA", at positions 118 to 359 of the family's 1533-position model. The record is from RNAcentral.